Molecule: ribosomal RNA, 650 nt
Filed under: Alteromonas sp. R118
Lineage: Bacteria; Pseudomonadati; Pseudomonadota; Gammaproteobacteria; Alteromonadales; Alteromonadaceae
Description: bacterial SSU rRNA
Rfam family: Bacterial small subunit ribosomal RNA
Source: RNAcentral
CCAUGCCGCGUGUGUGAAGAAGGCCUUCGGGUUGUAAAGCACUUUCAGUUGUGAGGAAAAGUUAGUAGUUAAUACCUGCUAGCCGUGACGUUAACAACAGAAGAAGCACCGGCUAACUCCGUGCCAGCAGCCGCGGUAAUACGGAGGGUGCGAGCGUUAAUCGGAAUUACUGGGCGUAAAGCGCACGCAGGCGGUUUGUUAAGCUAGAUGUGAAAGCCCCGGGCUCAACCUGGGAUGGUCAUUUAGAACUGGCAGACUAGAGUCUUGGAGAGGGGAGUGGAAUUCCAGGUGUAGCGGUGAAAUGCGUAGAUAUCUGGAGGAACAUCAGUGGCGAAGGCGACUCCCUGGCCAAAGACUGACGCUCAUGUGCGAAAGUGUGGGUAGCGAACAGGAUUAGAUACCCUGGUAGUCCACACCGUAAACGCUGUCUACUAGCUGUUUGUGACUUUAAGUCGUGAGUAGCGAAGCUAACGCGAUAAGUAGACCGCCUGGGGAGUACGGCCGCAAGGUUAAAACUCAAAUGAAUUGACGGGGGCCCGCACAAGCGGUGGAGCAUGUGGUUUAAUUCGAUGCAACGCGAAGAACCUUACCUACACUUGACAUGCAGAGAACUUUCCAGAGAUGGAUUGGUGCCUUCGGGAACUCUGACA